UUUUGAGGACCGCAGCACCGCUAUGCUGCCUCUGGCUCCCCCUUGUGUCCAGGACCUGAGCUUCAGCGGGCCUAGCCGGCUCCGCCCCGCUGCGCUGAGUUCCAAUCGCUCCCAGCAGUUCUGGUCAAGAUCCCGCCCAAGGGUUCACGCCUUUAUGUGGGUGUUGGGCGCCAAGGCUUUGUGCACCCUAGACAAGAAUUCAACAGCCAAGCUACGUCUUCAGCUGCUUCUAUAUUUAUGAAAGGUUUUGCUUAUAAAUCAAGGCAAAACAGUAGACAUAAUCAUGUAAAAAGACAGAAGAACACAGACAAGUCAGUUGCCUGUGUGGAUGGCCUUUGCUUCUGUCUUCACCGUGAAGCACAAAUGAAUCUAUCUGUGAAGAAGCCUAUGAAAAUGUGGGUUCAACAAGGGACAUAGACAGCAACAACCAAACGGAGAGCAACAGUUCCUGGCUCUGCCAUUCACUUGUUCUUUGAGGUCCUUCCAUCCUGACUGAACUAUGCUGAAACCUGCUUGUUGAGCUCAUAACCUUCUCUUGUAACUCCUGUGACUGUUCGUCCAUCAAGAUUUUGUUGUUUUGCUUUUGCAGUACUGAGGCAUGAGCUUGCACAUGCUAGGCAAGUGCUCCACUAAGCUAUACCCCAGCCCUUGUCUUUUUGAGACAGGAUCUCACUAUGUAGCCCAGGCUGGCCUAAAACCUGUGAUCCUCAUGCCAUUAGAAGUAGGGUCUUACUAUGUAGCUGGACCCGGAACUUGCUAUGGUGCCCAGCCUAACCUCUGCAUCCUGAGUGCUAGGAUUACACAUGUGUACACACAUGUAUCAGGUGGAAGGCAUGAAUCAUAAUGUUCUGUAGCACAGAAGGACAACUAUGUUUUCCAUAAAUAAACUGAAAAUGUCAAAAUAGCUAACAGAUGGAAUUUUGAACAUUUUUAGCACACACACAAAAUUAGUGUCUGAGGUGAGGUAUUUGCCAGACCAUGACAUGCUGUAUAAGUCUAGUGAAGAGUUACAGUGUGCCUUGUAAAUUCAUACAGCUACCAUGUGUUAGCUAAAAUAUAUUUUAGGCAGUUGUGGUGGCCCACACUUUUAAUCCCUGUACUGAGGGCAAGCAGAGGCAAUGGAGUUCCACAUCUGUGAGUUCUAGGCCAGUUUGGUUUACACAGCCAGUUCCAGGGCUGCCAGGGCUGCACAGUGAGAUGAUGUCUCAAAUAUAUAUACUUAAUAUAAUUUUAAUAUAAUUGUAAAGGUGGAGGGCUGAAGAGAUGGCUUAGCAGUUAAGACAUGUACUGCUCUUGUAGACCAUAUGAGUUCAGUUACUGGUUCCCUCAUUUGGUCUUCAAAGUCACCCACAUACAUCACACACAGACACCUACACAUACACACAAAUUUUUCGCUUAAUUUUUAUUUUUUUGGUUUUUUUUCAAGACAGG
This 1431-nucleotide long non-coding RNA is filed under the name Cricetulus griseus (Chinese hamster). RNAcentral's name for it is "lncRNA (ENSCGRG00015033759.1)". The record is from RNAcentral. Lineage: Eukaryota; Metazoa; Chordata; Mammalia; Rodentia; Cricetidae.